Molecule: ribosomal RNA, 468 nt
Filed under: uncultured bacterium
Lineage: Bacteria
Description: partial 16S ribosomal RNA
Rfam family: Bacterial small subunit ribosomal RNA
Source: RNAcentral
GACGAACGCUGGCGGCGUGCUUAACACAUGCAAGCCGAACGGAAAGGCCCUGCUUUUGUGGGGUGCUCGAGUGGCGAACGGGUGAGUAACACGUGAGUAACCUGCCCUUGACUUUGGGAUAACUUCAGGAAACUGGGGCUAAUACCGGAUAGGAGCUCCUGCUGCAUGGUGGGGGUUGGAAAGUUUCGGCGGUUGGGGAUGGACUCGCGGCUUAUCGGCUUGUUGGUGGGGUAGUGGCUUACCAAGGCUUUGACGGGUAGCCGGCCUGAGAGGGUGACCGGCCACAUUGGGACUGAGAUACGGCCCAGACUCCUACGGGAGGCAGCAGCGGGGAAUAUUGCACAAUGGGCGGAAGCCUGAUGCAGCAACGCCGCGUGCGGGAUGACGGCCUUCGGGUUGUAAACCGCUUUCGCCUGUGACGAAGCGUGAGUGACGGUAAUGGGUAAAGAAGCACCGGCUAACUACGUG